CGCAAAACCAGUGGGUACCUUGUAGAAGGGACUGGUGGAGAGUGGACAAGUACCCGCUGGUUUGCUUG
This 68-nucleotide microRNA precursor is filed under the name Columba livia (rock pigeon). RNAcentral's name for it is "Cli-Mir-9636_pre stem-loop". The record is from RNAcentral. Lineage: Eukaryota; Metazoa; Chordata; Aves; Columbiformes; Columbidae.